GGCGCACCGUUUCUCGCUUACCUGGCUUAAGGGGGUCGCCACCUCACCAUGUCACCCAGGACCCGCUGAACUAGUAAUGCCUGAGAAUGUCAGCGUUGAGAAAGGCUUUCCCACCUUCUGAGGCACGGCCAUAAGCACUGCGCGGUUUCCCACCACCACCACUGGUGAAUGCCCUCAGCCUGCACCCAGCUCAGCCAUAAUGGGGACAGCUCAGGUUUUGCCUGGCAUUCUGCAGAAGCAUUGCUGUAUCUUACCGGACAGGAAUACAGG
Echinops telfairi (small Madagascar hedgehog) is the source of this 270-nucleotide long non-coding RNA. RefSeq lists it as uncharacterized. Lineage: Eukaryota; Metazoa; Chordata; Mammalia; Afrosoricida; Tenrecidae. The record is from RefSeq and is a predicted model, not a curated record. The transcript has 3 exons.